CAAGAAAAGAAGUGCCUUUCUCACCAGUUUUCAGGUUAACUGAGUUGUCAAGACCGGAUAGUAUCGGCCAAAGCUGGGGCUCUUAUCCGGAUCCACAGUGACUUGGGGGACACUCUCUGCCUCCUGGAGGGAAUGUGGAGGAGACCCUUGACCCUGACCUGUGGGGUCUACAGGGGAAGUAGAGGCCAAAGACCGUGUUCAGGCCCCAAUGCCCCGAUCAUUCUGGAGAUGGCAAUGGAAAGCGGACACUUCCUGAGCUUCUGUCUCUUGGGGCCCAGCUCCAGUUCCAGAGGGAAGCCUAAGGCUACAGCUGUCCCCCUGAGAGGCCCUGCCACUGAGAACAUCAGCCGUAGACAAUGCCACCUUGCUGAUGAAGGCUAAGAGCAGGGGUCAGAUAGUGGCAGCUGCUGGAUACACCCUCAGGAAUCCGAAAUCUCUGUUCCUUCACACACUUCGCCAGAAACUCCCCUCGCCUCCGAAACAGCCCCAGCACCUCGACGUGCGAUGGCAGCCCGGGUCAGGAGCCGGGGAGUGGGGUUCACACGCAGGAGGCCUUCCCUUGGCAAGAAACAGCAGUGAGACCCUUUCCAGGGCUGGGCCCCGCUUUCCACACCUGGUAGGGAACGUUCUUUCAGCCACAAAAGAGGUACGACCAUUACUACCGUCUUUUUCUUUUCUUUCCUUUUUAAAAAAGUC
Molecule: long non-coding RNA, 696 nt
Organism: Neogale vison (American mink)
Lineage: Eukaryota; Metazoa; Chordata; Mammalia; Carnivora; Mustelidae
Exons: 4
Source: RefSeq, a predicted model, not a curated record